Molecule: ribosomal RNA, 532 nt
Filed under: uncultured bacterium
Lineage: Bacteria
Description: partial 16S ribosomal RNA
Rfam family: Bacterial small subunit ribosomal RNA
Source: RNAcentral
UGGGGAAUUUUGGACAAUGGGCGAAAGCCUGAUCCAGCAAUGCCGCGUGUGUGAAGAAGGCCUUCGGGUUGUAAAGCACUUUUGUCCGGAAAGAAAUCCUUGGCUCUAAUACAGUCGGGGGAUGACGGUACCGGAAGAAUAAGCACCGGCUAACUACGUGCCAGCAGCCGCGGUAAUACGUAGGGUGCAAGCGUUAAUCGGAAUUACUGGGCGUAAAGCGUGCGCAGGCGGUUUGCUAAGACCGAUGUGAAAUCCCCGGGCUCAACCUGGGAACUGCAUUGGUGACUGGCAGGCUAGAGUAUGGCAGAGGGGGGUAGAAUUCCACGUGUAGCAGUGAAAUGCGUAGAGAUGUGGAGGAAUACCGAUGGCGAAGGCAGCCCCCUGGGCCAAUACUGACGCUCAUGCACGAAAGCGUGGGGAGCAAACAGGAUUAGUACCCUGGUAGUCCCACGCCCUAAACCGAUGUCAACUAGUUGUUGGGGAUUCAUUUCCUUAGUAACGUAGCUAACGCGUGAAGUUGACCGCCUGGGGA